AAGCCCAAUGAAUAUGGCUAAGUGUCCGUUU
RNAcentral lists this non-coding RNA (31 nucleotides) under Homo sapiens (human). Lineage: Eukaryota; Metazoa; Chordata; Mammalia; Primates; Hominidae. The record is from RNAcentral.